CAGCGAAACUGCACUCCUCCACAGCUCCGAUUUGUGAUGCCAAGAAAAAAGAGGAAUUUACUGCUCUUCUCCUUCCCAACUUCGCCGCCCACAUCCUUCCCGACGCUCUUCUCUCCAUGCCAGGCCUCCUCUCUGCGGCUGCCGCUAUGGAGAAGAAGGUCGGACCCCUCUUCUCCUUCCCAAGGAGACUAGAGACGAGGAGGAACCUCCAUCACCCUCUCCGUGCGGCGCCGUCACAGUCAUGGAGGCUGCCAUCUGAAGAUGUCCAGAACCGGCCUCCAGCACCGACCUGUAGAUGCACGCAGUGGCGAGCCAACUAAGGAGAUCCGAAUCUCAUCUUCUCCGUCGUCAUCUCCGUCAGCCCUCACCGGAUCCAGAAGAAGCCAUGUCGUCAUUGACGUCAAGGAGGAGGAUGGGAGCAGAUGAGUGGAUGCCGGCGGUCAGACCUCGCGGCCAUGGCGGCGGGCAGCAAGAUGACAGGCCCUGCCUGGCCUACCACGAUGAAUACCAUGAGCUUAUGGACUACUGCUGCGACAUCUAAGCCACCGGCGUGCACAGCUCCUGCGCCCUCGAUCUGUAUUUGUAUUUCUUUUCUACUGUACUAAAGCUCGCUAACAUGGCACCGGUAAGAUUGUCCGUUCCUAUUAUCUCCUCUCCGUAUUUCUACUGGAGUAGAAAUUGGAGGGUUGUGUCCUAACUGUGAAUUAAUUUGGUGUGGGAGCUGUCGAAUUAGAGCCCUGAUUGUUUCAUCGCGAUUUCUUCAACUGUGACGCUGAUGUUGAUAGGAUGUGAUGGAACAAUUCCACAUUCUCUUCAACAUAGCUUACAGUACACGAAGCCCUCGAAUUAGUGUGUGGUGUAGGAACUAGGUAGGUGGAUAGUCAGGAUGUUAUGUGGUGGGAGAUGCAGCUGUACGCAUGUUAACCUUUCUUACUAGAAAAUAUGGAAACCAAAUUUAGCAAGAUGAUCCUAACUUGCUGCUUAGUGAUUUCAGUUUUGUCAGUCUCCAAUUCAGUGUAUGAAAGAUAAGGAUUGGGAUGUAGUUUGAUUUCGAUUGGAAAGGUUCAAUCUGUACAAUUGGCCACAAUUUUGUAGGACCUGUCGCAUUUGCUUUUGAUGCAGAUCAGUUUUCUUGUGAGCAUUUCUAUUGAAUGCAUGAAUAAUUUACUUCUUGAUAGGUGUUCAGUUGUCAAAAUUUCGAUGGCUUCAAAGGCUUAUGUGAGAUCAGGAUUACCACGGAAUUUACUUCUUGAUAGGUGUUCAGUUUUCAAAAUUUCGAUGGCUUCAAAGGCUUAUGUGAGAUCAGGAUUACCACGGGAAAAGUGUUGCAGACAACGCCAAGGAAAGUAAGAAUUUGGGAUGUAAAAAAUAAUGCUAAGCAUGCCCUUCCUCUUCUUAGUGAUGACUCUUGAUAUCAUUUUACACCUGACGCAAUUUUCUCAUAUGGUGCAUUAACAGGCAUCCAAUUUCCUUCUAAUGUAUUAUAUGUCAUUAUGCUACACUAUGACAUAUAUCCCUGCUACCCUCAGGACUAGCACAAUGAGGAGUUUCCAUAAUAGAUAUCUUUUCUUGAUUAGUUCAUUAUCCCUGCUAAAGGGGUAUGGCGUCUUUUGUUUCAUCAGUUCACUAUCAGUGCCACUAGGCAUAUGACAUAGUAAGAAGUUCAGGUUUGUGAAAUUUUAGUUCUGUUGUAACAAUCCGUUAGCACAAUCUUAUAAGAAAUAACUUAAUGUUUUGAGGAUUAUCUGAUCUGGUGUAUAUGCAACGGUGUGGUUGGUCUGAUGGUCAGCCUACACUAAUUACAUAAUUAGAAGUACUUUAGUCGUCAUUAUUACUUGCUUUUGUUUUGAUUGCAGGUCCUAUUCUUUUAUUGAAAGUGCAACAACUAAUAUAAGUCGCGGUGUGUUUGGAGCAAUAAGUGGUUCAGCAGCAUUUUGGGGCACUUGCUGACUUUGGUGAGCAUACUUUUACGUAAUCAGUACAGACAGAAAAUUAUCCACAUCUAUUGGCUAUGAUCGUCUACCAAAUUCCAAACCAGAAGGCACAAAUGAUGGCUGACGCAACAGGUCGGCGCCCACGACUGAAAGAAAUUUUCAUGGCCGUGUGCAAUGCUUCAUUGUAUUUGUGGCAAAACCACUUUCUCAGUUUCAGAGAGUAUCGGCUGACAGGGUUAGAGAGUCAAUAGCAAGAAAGCUCCACAUAACACAAGGCAUUAUUAUUCCUUCAUCUACCGAUGAAACGGUUGUCCUAUCCUUCCUCACCAUAAACAAGCAGUACAUGCAAUAGAUCUUUCUGAAAGAACACCUAUUGUCUCAAGCUUUGAUCCCUCUCAAACAUGUAGUAGGGGUUGUAUGUCGGUGUGUACUGGCAGUGAAACCUACGCUACAUACCAGUGUAAUGUUAUAUGUUUGUUUAGCCUGCCCUGCUUCUUUUUGAGAUGUAGUAUACCUCACUAUAGAUGUCUUAAGCACAUAUGUUCAGCUCUCGACCAUAUUCAGUUUAUGCUUCCUCCUAUAUGCUUCUAAAUCA
Long non-coding RNA from Lolium rigidum, 2529 nucleotides. RefSeq lists it as uncharacterized. The transcript has 3 exons. The record is from RefSeq and is a predicted model, not a curated record. Lineage: Eukaryota; Viridiplantae; Streptophyta; Magnoliopsida; Poales; Poaceae.